AGGUCCUACGGGGCGCAGCAGUGGGGGAUAUUGCACAAUGGGGGAAACCCUGAUGCAGCGAUGCCGCGUGAGUGAAGACGGCCUUCGGGUUGUAAAGCUCUGUCGCAGGGGACGAAAAUGACGGUACCUUGCAAGAAAGCUCCGGCUAACUACGUGCCAGCAGCCGCGGUAAUACGUAGGGAGCAAGCGUUAUCCGGAUUUACUGGGUGUAAAGGGAGCGUAGACGGUUCUGCAAGUCUGAAGUGAAAGCCCGUGGCUUAACCG
RNAcentral lists this ribosomal RNA (264 nucleotides) under uncultured bacterium. RNAcentral's name for it is "partial 16S ribosomal RNA". It matches the Rfam family "Bacterial small subunit ribosomal RNA", at positions 334 to 615 of the family's 1533-position model. The record is from RNAcentral.